AGAACCACAUAGCUCAGCGGCAGGACAUCUGCCUGGCAUGCAGAAGGUCUGAGGUUCAUUCCCCAGUGGCAUCUCCA
Molecule: non-coding RNA, 77 nt
Organism: Podarcis lilfordi (Lilford's wall lizard)
Lineage: Eukaryota; Metazoa; Chordata; Lepidosauria; Squamata; Lacertidae
Source: the annotation of a GenBank genome assembly